Molecule: ribosomal RNA, 2221 nt
Filed under: seawater metagenome
Description: bacterial LSU rRNA
Rfam family: Bacterial large subunit ribosomal RNA
Source: RNAcentral
CAAUCAAACUCCGUGAUAGCUGGUUCUCCCCGAAAUGCAUUUAGGUGCAGCGUCGUAUUAUAGCUUGGUGGAGGUAGAGCUACUGGUUGGUUGAGCGGGACUACAAUCUUAGCAAUGUCAGCCAAACUCCGAAUGCCACUAAUUGUGUUGUACGGCAGUGAGACUGUGGGGGAUAAGCUUCAUAGUCGAGAGGGAAACAGCCCAGAUCGCCGGUUAAGGCCCCUAAGGGUGUACUAAGUGGAAAAGGAUGUGGGAUCGCGAAGACAGCCAGGAGGUUGGCUUAGAAGCAGCCAUCCUUGAAAGAGUGCGUAAUAGCUCACUGGUCAAGUGAUCGUGCGCCGACAAUGUAGCGGGGCUCAAGCACACCGCCGAAGCCGCGGAUCCUCAACAAAUACCCUGUCAGUAUUUACUGGCCAGGGGUUGGGGGUGGUAGGGGAGCGUUGUGUACUGGGUGAAGCGGCCGAGUAAUUGUGUCGUGGACGGUACGCAAGUGAGAAUGCAGGCAUGAGUAGCGAUACUAGGGUGAGAAACCCUAGCGCCGAAUGACCAAGGGUUCCAGGGCUAGGCUAGUCCGCCCUGGGUGAGUCGGGUCCUAAGGCGAGGCCGACAGGCGUAGUCGAUGGAUAACCGGUUGAUAUUCCGGUACCGGCUGGUAACCGUCAAGUGUUGACUGAAAGGUACUAACCCACGCUGAAAACAUGGCUGGACGCCUUUUGGGUGUUUGGUUGUGGUUUUGGUUUGGGGACAGGCUUUCUUGGUAGGCAAGCGUGUGGAGUGACGCACAGUGGAAGCCUUCGCGAGGUGAUGGAAUACCUCGUUUAACCGUGUAGCUUACUGCUCAGGUAAAUCCGGGUGGUUUUAUGUGAGGCGGGAUGAUGACCAUCUUUUGGGUGGGAAGUAGGGGUGAUCCUGUGGUGCCGAGAAAAGCUUCGACGCGAGGUUGUUAGCCGCCCGUACCCUAAACCGACACAGGUGGUCGGGCAGAGUAUGCCUAGGCGCACGAGAUAAUCAUGGUUAAGGAACUCGGCAAAAUGCCCCCGUAACUUCGGGAGAAGGGGGGCCUGAUACUUGAUGAAACCGUUUUUGGCUUUCUAGGGUUGAGGGUCGCAGAGACCAGGGAGAAGCGACUGUUUACUAAAAACACAGGUGCGUGCGAAGCCGUAAGGCGAUGUAUACGCACUGACGCCUGCCCGGUGCUGGAAGGUUAAGAGGAACCGUCAGCUGACUUUUGUUGGUGAAGCGGUGAAUUUAAGCCCCAGUAAACGGCGGUGGUAACUAUAACCAUCCUAAGGUAGCGAAAUUCCUUGUCGGGUAAGUUCCGACCUGCACGAAUGGCGUAACGACUUCUCUGCUGUCUCAACCACAGGCCCGGUGAAAUUGCACUACGAGUAAAGAUGCUCGUUACGCGCGGCAGGACGAAAAGACCCCGGGACCUUCACUAUAGCUUGGUAUUGGUGUUUGGUUCGGUUUGUGUAGGAUAGGUGGGAGACUUGGAAGCUAUCACGCUAGUGGUGGUGGAGUCGUUGUUGAAAUACCACUCUGAUCGGAUUGAGCAUCUAACCUUGGCCCAUGAUCUGGGUUGGGGACAGUGCCUGGUGGGUAGUUUAACUGGGGCGGUUGCCUCCCAAAAUGUAACGGAGGCGCCCAAAGGUUCCCUCAGCCUGGUUGGCAAUCAGGUGGUGAGUGUAAGUGCACAAGGGAGCUUGACUGUGAGACAGACAUGUCGAGCAGGGACGAAAGUCGGGACUAGUGAUCCGGCACCUACUUGUGGAUGUGGUGUCGCUCAACGGAUAAAAGGUACCCCGGGGAUAACAGGCUGAUCUUCCCCAAGAGUCCAUAUCGACGGGAUGGUUUGGCACCUCGAUGUCGGCUCGUCGCAUCCUGGGGCUGGAGUAGGUCCCAAGGGUUGGGCUGUUCGCCCAUUAAAGCGGCACGCGAGCUGGGUUCAGAACGUCGUGAGACAGUUCGGUCCCUAUCCGCUGCGCGCGGAGGAAUCUUGAGAAGGGCUGUCUUUAGUACGAGAGGACCGAGACGGACUGACCUCUGGUGUGCCAGUUGUUCUGCCAAGAGCAUGGCUGGUUGGCUACGUCGGGUUGUGAUAACCGCUGAAAGCAUCUAAGCGGGAAGCACGCUUCAAGAUAAGGGUUCCCACAGGAGUGUUCCUGGUAAGGUCCCCAGAUCGGAAGAGCGUCGUGUAGGGAAAGAGUGUAGAUCUCGGUGG